This 510-nucleotide ribosomal RNA is filed under the name uncultured bacterium. Its description in RNAcentral is "bacterial SSU rRNA". It matches the Rfam family "Bacterial small subunit ribosomal RNA", at positions 18 to 518 of the family's 1533-position model. The record is from RNAcentral.
CCUGGCUCAGAUUGAACGCUGGCGGCAGGCCUAACACAUGCAAGUCGAACGGUAGCACAGAGAGCUUGCUCUCGGGUGACGAGUGGCGGACGGGUGAGUAAUGUCUGGGAAACUGCCCGAUGGAGGGGGAUAACUACUGGAAACGGUAGCUAAUACCGCAUAACGUCGCAAGACCAAAGAGGGGGACCUUCGGGCCUCUUGCCAUCGGAUGUGCCCAGAUGGGAUUAGCUAGUAGGUGGGGUAACGGCUCACCUAGGCGACGAUCCCUAGCUGGUCUGAGAGGAUGACCAGCCACACUGGAACUGAGACACGGUCCAGACUCCUACGGGAGGCAGCAGUGGGGAAUAUUGCACAAUGGGCGCAAGCCUGAUGCAGCCAUGCCGCGUGUAAUGAAGAAGGCCUUCGGGUUGUAAAGUACUUUCAGCGAGGAGGAAGGCGUUGUGGUUAAUAACCGCAGCGAUUGACGUUACUCGCAGAAGAAGCACCGGCUAACUCCGUGCCAGCCGCCGC